CAGUCGCCGCGGUAAUACGUAGGUGGCAAGCGUUGUCCGGAAUUAUUGGGCGUAAAGGGCUCGCAGGCGGUUUCUUAAGUCUGAUGUGAAAGCCCCCGGCUCAACCGGGGAGGGCCAUUGGAAACUGGGAAACUUGAGUGCAGAAGAGGAGAGUGGAAUUCCACGUGUAGCGGUGAAAUACGUAGAGAUGUGGAGGAACACCAGUGGCGAAGGCGACUCUCUGGUCUGUAACUGACGCUGAGGAGCGAAAGCGUGGGGAGCGAACAGGAUUAGAUACCCGCGUAGUCCCUGUCUCUUAUAA
RNAcentral lists this ribosomal RNA (301 nucleotides) under uncultured bacterium. RNAcentral's name for it is "partial 16S ribosomal RNA". It matches the Rfam family "Bacterial small subunit ribosomal RNA", at positions 509 to 809 of the family's 1533-position model. The record is from RNAcentral.